UUUUAAUUUUUGUUUGGGAAGUGUUUCCCACCUUGAAAAGUCACAACUGAUUCUUAUGUCCGGAGAUACAUUUUCAGACGCAUCUUUUUUAAGUCAUUCUUCAGAUCAAAUUGAAUAGGCAUCCUAUUAUGCCAAAAUUUAACUCGAAGAUGUAUCUUUGUAUAAGUAAAAGGAACGUCCCAUGAUGCAUCUCCGUAAACAUAAUUAAUUCAAAAAUUAGUGGGUGGUCC
RNAcentral lists this long non-coding RNA (230 nucleotides) under Lathyrus oleraceus (garden pea). Its description in RNAcentral is "Pisum sativum (pea) long non-coding RNA (PSAT_LNC013051)". Lineage: Eukaryota; Viridiplantae; Streptophyta; Magnoliopsida; Fabales; Fabaceae. The record is from RNAcentral.